RNAcentral lists this ribosomal RNA (208 nucleotides) under uncultured Pseudomonadota bacterium. RNAcentral describes it as "uncultured proteobacterium partial 16S ribosomal RNA". It matches the Rfam family "Bacterial small subunit ribosomal RNA", at positions 568 to 775 of the family's 1533-position model. Lineage: Bacteria; Pseudomonadati; Pseudomonadota. The record is from RNAcentral.
CGUGUAGACGGCUUGGUAAGUCAGAUGUGAAAGCCCUGGGCUUAACCCAGGAAGUGCAUUUGAAACUGCCAGGCUUGAGUAGGGAAGAGGAAGGUGGAAUUCCUGGUGUAGAGGUGAAAUUCGUAGAUAUCAGGAGGAACACCGGUGGCGAAGGCGACCUUCUGGUCCUAUACUGACGCUGAGACGCGAAAGCGUGGGUAGCAAACAG